Molecule: transfer RNA, 77 nt
Filed under: Candidatus Berkelbacteria bacterium
Lineage: Bacteria; Candidatus Berkelbacteria
Description: tRNA-Pro
Rfam family: tRNA
About the family: Transfer RNA (tRNA) molecules are approximately 80 nucleotides in length.
Source: RNAcentral
CGGGGUAUAGCACAGUUGGUUAGUGCGCCGGGCUGGGGGUCCGGAGGUCGGCAGUUCAAGUCUGCCUACCCCGACCA